This 395-nucleotide ribosomal RNA is filed under the name uncultured bacterium. RNAcentral describes it as "bacterial SSU rRNA". It matches the Rfam family "Bacterial small subunit ribosomal RNA", at positions 29 to 425 of the family's 1533-position model. The record is from RNAcentral.
AUUAAACGCUGGCGGCAUGCCUUACACAUGCAAGUCGAACGGCAGCACGGGGGCAACCCUGGUGGCGAGUGGCGGACGGGUGAGUAAAGCAUCGGAACGUAUCCUGGAGUGGGGGGAUAACGUAGCGAAAGUUACGCUAAUACCGCAUAUUCUGUGAGCAGGAAAGCAGGGGGAUCGCAAGACCUUGCGCUCUGGGAGCGGCCGAUGUCGGAUUAGCUAGUUGGUGGGGUAAAGCCUACCAAGGCGACGAUCCGUAGCGGGUCUGAGAGGAUGAUCCGCCACACUGGGACUGAGACACGGCCCAGACUCCUACGGGAGGCAGCAGUGGGGAAUUUUGGACAAUGGGCGAAGCCUGAUCCAGCCAUGCCGCGUGAGUGAAGAAGGCCUUCGGGUUG